GACGAACGCUGGCGGCGUGCCUAAUACAUGCAAGUAGAACGCAGUUUCGAACGGGUUAGUAACGCGUAGGUAACUGCCUGGUAGCGGGGGAUAACUAUUGGAAACGAUAGCUCAUCCCGCAUACUACCAGCUGGACCUGCGUUGUAUUAGCUAGUUUGUGGGGUAACGGCUCACCAAGGCAACGAUGACUAGCCGACCUGAGAGGGUGAUCGGCCACACUGGGACGUAGACACGGCCCAGACUCCUACGGGAGGCAGCAGUAGGGAAUCUUCGGAAAUGGGGGGAACCCUGACCGAGCAACGCCGCGUGAGUGAAGAAGGGUUUCGGAUCGUAAAGCUCUGUUGUUAAGGAAGCGGUACUUAACCAGAAAGGGACGGCUAACUACGUGCCAGCAGCCGCGGUAAUAC
This 407-nucleotide ribosomal RNA is filed under the name uncultured bacterium. Its description in RNAcentral is "partial 16S ribosomal RNA". It matches the Rfam family "Bacterial small subunit ribosomal RNA", at positions 28 to 526 of the family's 1533-position model. The record is from RNAcentral.